GAUCAUGGCUCAGGACGAACGCUGGCGGCGUGCCUAAUACAUGCAAGUCGAACGAGAACUUUUUACACCGAGUGCUUGCACUCACCGUAAGAAGUUCGAGUGGCGGACGGGUGAGUAACACGUGGGUAACCUGCCCAAAAGAAGGGGAUAACAUUUGGAAACAAAUGCUAAUACCGUAUAACCAUGAUGACCGCAUGGUCAUGAUGUAAAAGGUGGUUUUGCUAUCGCUUUUGGAUGGACCCGCGGCGUAUUAACUAGUUGGUAGGGUAACGGCCUACCAAGGUGAUGAUACGUAGCCGAGUUGAGAGACUGAUCGGCCACAAUGGGACUGAGACACGGCCCAUACUCCUACGGGAGGCAGCAGUAGGGAAUCUUCCACAAUGGACGGAAGUCUGAUGGAGCAACGCCGCGUGAAUGAAGAAGGUCUUCGGAUCGUAAAAUUCUGUUGUUAGAGAAGAAUAUGAGUAAGAGUAACUGCUUAUUCACUGACGGUAUCUAACUAGCAAGUCACGGCUAACUACGUGCCAGCAGCCGCGGUAAUACGUAGGUGGCAAGCGUUGUCCGGAUUUAUUGGGCGUAAAGGGAACGCAGGCGGUUUUUUAAGUCUGAUGUGAAAGCCUUCGGCUUAACCGAAGAAGUGCAUUGGAAACUGGAAGACUUGAGUGCAGAAGAGGAGAGUGGAACUCCAUGUGUAGCGGUGAAAUGCGUAGAUAUAUGGAAGAACACCAGUGGCGAAAGCGGCUCUCUGGUCUGUAACUGACGCUGAGGUUCGAAAGCAUGGGUAGCGAACAGGAUUAGAUACCCUGGUAGUCC
This 813-nucleotide ribosomal RNA is filed under the name uncultured bacterium. Its description in RNAcentral is "bacterial SSU rRNA". It matches the Rfam family "Bacterial small subunit ribosomal RNA", at positions 15 to 796 of the family's 1533-position model. The record is from RNAcentral.